CUGGAAAAGAAGAUUUUCCCACAAGAAAAACUGAAACUAUUAUCCAUCUAGGAGUUCAAGGAGAAAAGACAAUAAAAAAGAUAAGAGAGCUCAAAACCUGAGUGAUCGGACGGCCACAUGUUUGGAAAGGACAUGAAAAAUGAAAUUAGCACCGUGGAGAAACAAUACAAUCCCAGUACAUCCAAGAAGAAAUAACUCAACCAUCGUCUCUCGAUCGUUUUUACCACCACAAAGAGCUCUUUCUCUCUCUGCAAACGAAUCAACGAAGUCUCUCUGUUUGCGCACCAGCCGACGCAGAGAUGAAACGAAGUCUCUGUUUGCAGCAAGGAAGACCAAGUCCUUUUAUACAAAGGUGGAUCCUACCAGAGGCCGACUAAACAAGAGGGGUUUUAAGGCGUGGAUGAUAAUAUGAUUGAAUGUUUCUACUUUGACUUAAAUUUGAUUGGCCGUUGGAUUCGUGCGGCAAGGAUAUUAUGAUGAUUAGUCGGGUGGUUUAGGGGUUGGGAGUGGGGGGUAUGGAGAUUGAUAUACUGGACUGCAGCUGAGGUGGAUCUCACAGCGGCAGGUCAGAGGGUCACCGCCCGUGUUUUUCACCAAUUUUUUGUUCUCGGCUGAUCAGCAGUACGGGUACCGAGAUUAAGGUCUUAACAUUUUAAAGGAGCCGACCGUCGCCGCCUAACCAACCACAGUGGUUUCGAGUCUUUUGACACAAAACUACACGAUUUUGGCAUAUUGUUACACGUGGGAACGGUUAUUGCAGCGGGAGAAGUGGAAGUCGGGCACCGGCCCAGUGAGCGAACUUGCACGGAGACAAUGACCUCAAUGAUCAUAGCUUGUUUAUUUUACUGUUUACUAGAACCGACCCAUUUUUGCGGACUGAAUUCUUUAUCUCGAUGGAGCUUGUUGAUUUUCUUCAUGCGCCAAAGAUUAGCACACGCAUUCACUCAUUGACUUGAAAUGAAUUCAUUGGCUGAAGUUUUCCAUAAACUGAUAGAUCAUUUGGGAAUAUAUUUUCAGAAUGGAGUUUAUCACUGGCGGGUAGAGACAGAGAGAGAGAGAGAGGGAGGGAGGGAGGGGGCACUAACAAGAAUGGGAUACAAUCAUCAGGCACUCAUAGUGCUGCUUCGAUAUUCAUAUGAGGCACGGAUUGCCUUGCCAAGACAAUGUAAACUACAAGCAUCCCACCCAAAGAUACCCCUUUAUCAUGACUUUUAAAUAACUCAGCAUUCAAUUAUUCAUAAUGCAACUUACUGCUUCUAUUAAUCACCUAA
Long non-coding RNA from Carya illinoinensis, 1271 nucleotides. RefSeq lists it as uncharacterized. The record is from RefSeq and is a predicted model, not a curated record. NCBI's taxonomy places the organism in Eukaryota, Viridiplantae, Streptophyta, Magnoliopsida, Fagales, Juglandaceae. The transcript has 2 exons.